CAGUCGCCACGGUAAUACGUAGAGUGCGAGCGUUAAUCGGAAUUACUGGGCGUAAAGCGUGCGCAGGCGGUUGUGUAAGACAGGUGUGAAAUCCCCGGGCUUAACCUGGGAACUGCGCUUGUGACUGCACAGCUAGAGUAUGGCAGAGGGGGGUGGAAUUCCACGUGUAGCAGUGAAAUGCGUAGAGAUGUGGAGGAACACCGAUGGCGAAGGCAGCCCCCUGGGCCAAUACUGACGCUCAUGCACGAAAGCGUGGGGAGCAAACAGGAUUAGAUACCCGAGUAGUCCCUGUCUCUUAUAA
RNAcentral lists this ribosomal RNA (301 nucleotides) under uncultured bacterium. RNAcentral's name for it is "partial 16S ribosomal RNA". It matches the Rfam family "Bacterial small subunit ribosomal RNA", at positions 509 to 809 of the family's 1533-position model. The record is from RNAcentral.